RNAcentral lists this ribosomal RNA (465 nucleotides) under Vreelandella stevensii. Its description in RNAcentral is "partial 16S ribosomal RNA". It matches the Rfam family "Bacterial small subunit ribosomal RNA", at positions 338 to 795 of the family's 1533-position model. Lineage: Bacteria; Pseudomonadati; Pseudomonadota; Gammaproteobacteria; Oceanospirillales; Halomonadaceae. The record is from RNAcentral.
CCUACGGGAGGCAGCAGUGGGGAAUAUUGGACAAUGGGCGAAAGCCUGAUCCAGCCAUGCCGCGUGUGUGAAGAAGGCCUUCGGGUUGUAAAGCACUUUCAGUGGGGAAGAAAGCCUUGGGGCUAAUACCCUCGAGGAAGGACAUCACCCACAGAAGAAGCACCGGCUAACUCCGUGCCAGCAGCCGCGGUAAUACGGAGGGUGCGAGCGUUAAUCGGAAUUACUGGGCGUAAAGCGCGCGUAGGCGGUCUGAUAAGCCGGUUGUGAAAGCCCCGGGCUCAACCUGGGAAUGGCAUCCGGAACUGUCAGGCUAGAGUGCAGGAGAGGAAGGUAGAAUUCCCGGUGUAGCGGUGAAAUGCGUAGAGAUCGGGAGGAAUACCAGUGGCGAAGGCGGCCUUCUGGACUGACACUGACGCUGAGGUGCGAAAGCGUGGGUAGCAAACAGGAUUAGAUACCCGAGUAGUC